This 441-nucleotide ribosomal RNA is filed under the name uncultured bacterium. RNAcentral's name for it is "partial 16S ribosomal RNA". It matches the Rfam family "Bacterial small subunit ribosomal RNA", at positions 338 to 795 of the family's 1533-position model. The record is from RNAcentral.
CCUACGGGAGGCUGCAGUGGGGGAUAUUGCACAAUGGGGGAAACCCUGAUGCAGCGACGCCGCGUGGGUGAAGAAGUAUUUCGGUAUGUAAAGCCCUAUCAGUAGAGAAGAAAGAAGACGGUACCUGACUAAGAAGCCCCGGCUAACUACGUGCCAGCAGCCGCGGUAAUACGUAGGGGGCGAGCGUUAUCCGGAUUCACUGGGUGUAAAGGGAGUGUAGACGGCCGUGCAAGCCAGGAGUGAAAGCUCCGGGCCCAACCCCGGGACUGCUCUUGGAACUGUGUGGCUGGAGUGCGGGAGGGGCAGGCGGAAUUCCUGGUGUAGGGGUGAAAUGCGUAGAGAUCAGGAGGAACACCGGCGGCGAAGGCGGCCUGCUGGACCGCGACUGACGUUGAGGCGCGAAAGCGUGGGGAGCGAACAGGAUUAGAUACCCUUGUAGUC